Small nuclear RNA from Papio anubis (olive baboon), 111 nucleotides. NCBI's taxonomy places the organism in Eukaryota, Metazoa, Chordata, Mammalia, Primates, Cercopithecidae. The record is from Ensembl.
UUGCUUUGGCAGCAUAUUUACUGAAAAAAAAAAAAAAAAGAAAUGAUACGGAGAUUAACAUUGCCCAUGUACAAGGAUGACAUGCAAAUUUGUGAAGCAUUCCAUAUUUGC